This 469-nucleotide ribosomal RNA is filed under the name uncultured Opitutia bacterium. RNAcentral's name for it is "bacterial SSU rRNA". It matches the Rfam family "Bacterial small subunit ribosomal RNA", at positions 9 to 458 of the family's 1533-position model. Lineage: Bacteria; Pseudomonadati; Verrucomicrobiota; Opitutia. The record is from RNAcentral.
GAGUUUGAUCUUGGCUCAGGAUGAACGCUAGCGGCGUGGUUAAGACAUGCAAGUCGAACGGGUUUUCAGGUGUAGCAAUACAUUUGAAAGCCAGUGGCGAACGGGUGCGUAACACGUGAACAAUCUACCAUUUAGUGUGGAAUAGCUCGCCGAAAGGCGAAUUAAUACCGCAUGUGGUUGUUUCCCGCAUGGGAGACAUACUAAAGUCAGGGACCGCAAGGCCUGACGCUAAUUGAGGAGUUCGCGGCCUAUCAGCUAGUUGGCGAGGUAACGGCUCACCAAGGCUAAGACGGGUAGCUGAUCUGAGAGGAUGAUCAGCCACACUGGGACUGAGACACGGCCCAGACUCCUACGGGAGGCAGCAGUGGGGAAUCUUGGACAAUGGGCGCAAGCCUGAUCCAGCCAUGCCGCGUGAGUGAAGAAGGCCUUAGGGUUGUAAAGCUCUUUUGCCAGGGACGAUAAUGACGGU